UCCAUAGCUAGAGGACUCCUGAUAUCUCCAGGAGUGAUAAUGGCAGCCUUGGGCUGGCCUUCUGGGCAAGGUGGGUCUUUGCACUAAUCUUGCAUACUCGAAUGCCUCUGCUACCCCGAAGCUAGAGAGGAAGUGAUAGUCACUUGCAACCUAACAUUACAGCUGCCAGAAACAAGAUGAAGCCAACAGAGCAGACAAAGCCAACAAGCAUCAUUCUUGGUUUCUUGGAUCUGAAUCAACUCGACCCCAGAAGAGAAAAAGAAGCUCAUGACCAAUCCAGAAACCAAUUAAUUUUGAAAGGUAACGUUAGGGAGAUACUUGCGGAGACAGUUUGAUUUUGAGGGAACCUGAGGCUGUGCAAGUUGUGGUUGUGCAAACCUUAACACUGAGAGUGCAACAACCCCCACAGACUCAGACUCAUCCCCCCUGCCCCACUACCAACCAAGCAAGAGUAUCUCCAGAAACAUCAGCGCAAAGGGUUUGGUGAGACCAUGGCCAAUAUACACUGAGUGUACGAAACACAUGCUCUUUCCAUGA
This is a long non-coding RNA of Salmo salar (Atlantic salmon), 537 nucleotides long. RefSeq lists it as uncharacterized. Lineage: Eukaryota; Metazoa; Chordata; Actinopteri; Salmoniformes; Salmonidae. The record is from RefSeq and is a predicted model, not a curated record.